RNAcentral lists this unclassified non-coding RNA (1719 nucleotides) under Harpegnathos saltator (Jerdon's jumping ant). RNAcentral's name for it is "uncharacterized LOC105190501, transcript variant X2". Lineage: Eukaryota; Metazoa; Arthropoda; Insecta; Hymenoptera; Formicidae. The record is from RNAcentral.
AGCGAGCUUCUGGUCAAAUGCGCAUCAAGUCAAAGCUCCUCUGCAUUGUUAAGAUAAGUUGAAACGUCCUUUCAACGGCAGGCGGUAUGUUUCGAGUGCGUGAACUCGGUGUAUAAAAACAAACUCUCGAGAUAAUCUAAAUUUCACGCUUCUGGAAGUUUCUCGAGAGGAUGCCGUGAUUUGCAAGAAGUGCUUCCAAAUAAUGCUAAUAUCGACGCUUCGAUGUCACAUUACGAGUUGUUGUUGUUCCAUUUCUUAUGAACAGCUAACAAUGUAACCUAGUUGGCCGAGCCUAGCUCGUGUACAUUCGUCAAAACAAUAGCAUCCAAUGCUGAUUGGAAUACUGAUUAAAAACUCGAGCACAAGACAUUGUUUUCUUUCAUGUGACAUCGAAGGACGGUCGUAUUCGUUACUCUUCAAGUCUGAACGUGAAUUCAGAUUAAACCAAUCCCGCUCGAGCACGGUUGGUUUUUCGCGAACUAUAAAUAUUAAGGCUAAGGCGAUCCGAGGAGACAACGUCGUCAUUCUUGACACACAAGUCCGGUACACCGCAGCGCUAAGUUAGGAGUCUCCCACUCUCUAUCCGGAUUCUCGCAAGAGACUCACCUUUUUUGUUGAUUAUUAAACAAGCUGUUUUUAAGAAAACAAAUCUAGUGAUUCGAACCUCCUGUACCGUAUCCAAACGCAUUUUAUUGCAACUUUCUGUCGCGUGGGAAUCAGCGACAUUUUAUUGCACGUGUCGAACGUUCACCACUUUGCAACCGAUCAACGAAGAGCUUCUGUUUCAACGCAGCGAAGAAGCCAUUAUCAUCAUUUAAUUCGAGGCAAGAAGGGAAGGAAAAGCGAUAUAAGCUAUUACGGAACACAUCGCCAACACUGCUUUAUGACGUCACGUUCACAGCACUGGCAGUGAAUAUCGGAAUGCACCCUGAUUAUACGAUGUCAUGCAGUAGAGCGGCAAGACAGUUCCAAAAUUACUGCUAUUGAUUUUAUUGCGUAUUUCGCAGUAAUAACGAAACGGAGGAUUUACGUUCCGCAGUACACAAUCACAGUGUACAGUGAGAACUACAGAAAGAAAUAUAAAAUAAAACCUCGCUUAUUAUUUCUGUCAAAAUUAUGUCGAAAACGUUAUACCUUUAUAUACAGAUAAAGAAUUUUAGAUGCACUUUCGAUAAGUAAAUAAGAAAACGCAACGGAAUACUUUUGAAUUUUUAUUGAAUUUAUUAAGACCAAAACUGUGUAAACAGAGUGAGAGAUUUGGUAGAGAACCCAUUUCUCCUGAGAAACAAUUACUUACUGCAAUAUGGAUAUUGGCUACACCAAAUUCUUAUAGAUGUGUUUCAGAUAGGUUUAAUAUAGGCAAAGGUACUGCAUGGCGAAGUGUGCAGAGAGUAAUAAAUGCUUUAUAUGCAAAUGUAAGAACAUUUAUACGUUGGCCAAAUAGACAAGAACCAGAGCAAACUAUGGGAACAAUAAAGGACCAUUACGGUUUUCCAGGUGUUAUCAGUGCAGUGGAUGGUUAUUUAUGAUGUGCAACUACGGUUUAUACAUUGUUACAAGGGACAAGUGGGAUUUGUCCAUGAUAUGCGUGUUUUUCGAUUAUCUAAUGUCGAAAACAUGUUUACAGAUGAAAAUUUUCCAAACGACAGCCAUAUAUUAGAUGAGCAUAUUAGCAGUAUAUCGUCUUACUAAACAUGUUAUAGUACCAUUUAAAGACAA